RNAcentral lists this ribosomal RNA (157 nucleotides) under Craterellus atrocinereus. RNAcentral's name for it is "5.8S ribosomal RNA". It matches the Rfam family "5.8S ribosomal RNA", at positions 2 to 131 of the family's 154-position model. From Rfam's summary of the family: 5.8S ribosomal RNA (5.8S rRNA) is a component of the large subunit of the eukaryotic ribosome. The record is from RNAcentral. Lineage: Eukaryota; Fungi; Basidiomycota; Agaricomycetes; Cantharellales; Hydnaceae.
ACUUUCAGCAAUGGAUCUCUUGGUUCUCGCAUCGAUGAAGAACGCAGUGAAAUGCGAUAACUGGUGUGAAUUGCAUCCAAGUAACUCUAAUUUACGAAUAACACCAAGUGAAUCAUCGAGUCUUUGAACGCAAUUGCGCCCUCUCGGUUGCUUCCAA